CCUACGGGAGGCUGCAGUCGAGAAUCAUUCACAAUGGGGGAAACCCUGAUGGUGCGACGCCGCGUGGGGGAAUGAAGGUCUUCGGAUUGUAAACCCCUGUCAUGUGGGAGCAAAUUAAAAAGAUAGUACCACAAGAGGAAGAGACGGCUAACUCUGUGCCAGCAGCCGCGGUAAUACAGAGGUCUCAAGCGUUGUUCGGAAUCACUGGGCGUAAAGCGUGCGUAGGCUGUUUCGUAAGUCGUGUGUGAAAGGCGCGGGCUCAACCCGCGGACGGCACAUGAUACUGCGAGACUAGAGUAGUGGAGGGGGAACCGGAAUUCUCGGUGUAGCAGUGAAAUGCGUAGAUAUCGAGAGGAACACUCGUGGCGAAGGCGGGUUCCUGGACAUUAACUGACGCUGAGGCACGAAGGCCAGGGGAGCGAAAGGGAUUAGAUACCCGGGUAGUC
This 446-nucleotide ribosomal RNA is filed under the name uncultured bacterium. RNAcentral describes it as "partial 16S ribosomal RNA". It matches the Rfam family "Bacterial small subunit ribosomal RNA", at positions 338 to 795 of the family's 1533-position model. The record is from RNAcentral.